UCGUAACAAGGUUUCCGUAGGUGAACCUGCGGAAGGAUCAUUGUCGUAACCUGCGAAAGCAAUGCAACUCGCGAACACGUACUUAACCCUCGAGAAUCCAAGGGUGCCUCCUUCGGGAACACCUUUUUUUUCCCGACAACUUCGGGGCGGCUCGGCGUUCGUUGGUCCCGACGGCGUAAAACUCGCUCGGGCUAACAAAUGUUGGGCUAAACCAAUGCAACAAAAAACCGGCGUGAAAUGCGCCAAGGAACAUGAAAGAGAGUGCGCGCUCGUCUUGUGUCAGCAUUGCUGCGCCAUGACGGGCGUUGUCUUCUUGAUGAGUUUAUAAUGACUCUCGGCAACGGAUAUCUCGGCUCUUACAUCGAUGAAGAACGUAGCAAAAUGCGAUACUUGGUGUGAAUUGCAGAAUCCCGUGAACCAUCGAGUCUUUGAACGCAAGUUGCGCCCGAAUCCUUUUGGUCGAGGGCACGUCUGCCUGGGUGUCACGUACACAUGCCUCCUGCAAACCUUUCCCACUCUGUGGAUUUAGGGCCUCGCGGGAGCAGAUAAUGGUAUCCCGUGCCUAUUUCUGUGCGGCUUGCCUAAAAAUAGAGAGCCGGUGAUGAAACGUCACGCCUAGUGGUGGUUAACGAGGCCCGACGGCCAACCAGUUCGCGACGUGACUGAUUAUCACCGGAGAACUCAUACAACACCUUGAAUGUCCUGUAAUGGACGUGCUAUUGUCGCGACCCCAGGUCAGGCGGGACUACCCGCUGAAUUUAAGCAUAUCAAUA
This 773-nucleotide unclassified non-coding RNA is filed under the name Saxifraga paradoxa. RNAcentral describes it as "sequence contains ITS1, 5.8S rRNA gene, ITS2". The stretch from base 330 to 485 matches the Rfam family "5.8S ribosomal RNA". Lineage: Eukaryota; Viridiplantae; Streptophyta; Magnoliopsida; Saxifragales; Saxifragaceae. The record is from RNAcentral.